This is a long non-coding RNA of Caenorhabditis elegans, 486 nucleotides long. Ensembl annotates it as ncRNA. Its record names the gene linc-108. The record is from Ensembl. NCBI's taxonomy places the organism in Eukaryota, Metazoa, Nematoda, Chromadorea, Rhabditida, Rhabditidae.
UUCAAUGUUAAUUGACUUUUCCCGAGUAGCUGAAGGUUGUCAAUAUUUUCUGUUUCAAUUUAUAAUAUGUAGUUUUGUUCUUUCAGCAGUUCUCAUCAGGGACUUUAAAUCGGCAACACUGUACGAAUCCCAUAACUGUUCCUAGAUCUAUUUUGAGAACUCUAUAGCCGCUUAUAUCGUCAAUCACUGCUCACACACCACAGAUCUUCAUUUCCUGAUCGCCAGUGAUAUUCUUCUUUUUCUGUGAUCUGUAGGCCUGCAAUCGUUAGUCCCAAUUCUUUCAAUAUGGUCUGCAGAGAAUAAUGGACAAAGACUAGGGUCUCACAGACAUGCAAAUGAAGCUAAAUUGUCUAAGCAACCACAUUGUUGUGGCUUUUGGUUGUUUAGUCUGGAUUUGAAGAAUUUGAGAGAAGGGAAUAUUUUUUUAGACUGAAUACUUGUUUUCUUUAUCUGGUCAGCACUUAUGAAAGGGAGCUAGAAUUGCAU